UACGGGGGGGGCAAGCGUUGUUCGGAAUUACUGGGCGUAAAGGGCUCGUAGGCGGCCAACUAAGUCAGACGUGAAAUCCCCAGGCUCAACCUGGGAACUGCGUCCGAUACUGGAAGGCUUGAAUCCGGGAGAGGGAUGCGGAAUUCCAGGUGUAGCGGUGAAAUGCGUAGAUAUCUGGAGGAACACCGGUGGCGAAGGCGGCAUCCUGGACCGGUAUUGACGCUGAGGCGCGAAAGCCAGGGGAGCAAACGGG
This 253-nucleotide ribosomal RNA is filed under the name uncultured bacterium. Its description in RNAcentral is "partial 16S ribosomal RNA". It matches the Rfam family "Bacterial small subunit ribosomal RNA", at positions 524 to 776 of the family's 1533-position model. The record is from RNAcentral.